This 1131-nucleotide long non-coding RNA is filed under the name Sorghum bicolor (sorghum). RNAcentral describes it as "long non-coding RNA (SBIC_LNC013175)". The record is from RNAcentral. Lineage: Eukaryota; Viridiplantae; Streptophyta; Magnoliopsida; Poales; Poaceae.
AGCAUUGAGGGUGGCGGUUCAAGUCGUAUUAGUUCAAGUGGUGUCAAUUCUUAAGCUGGAAGACUCCUUGUAUUUGGUACUUUUCUAUCCUUAAUUCUAUGUAUCUUUGACUUUAACUACUUUGAAUCCAUAUCACAUUAUCAAUCUAGGUUAUAUCUACUAGUAUACUGUGUCUACCGAGCAAAACUUUUGUUCGCCUUGUUCUUUAGCUCCCCUGGUCCGUUUCUGGAUCCGCCACUGGACUAGAGGAUAGCUGACAUCCAGCAUUACGUGAGAAUGACGCAGGCCCCUAAUAUCGUCGGACAGAGAUUCAGUAACUUGCCUUGAGCAAGUCACGACGUAACUUACCUUCUUCAUCCAUUCUUCCAAAGUCUUGUUUAGUUCAAAUUUUUUUUAUAAAAUUAAAAAAAUUCAGAUAUUUUCCGUCACAUCAAAUUUUACAGCACGUGUAUGGAACAUUAAAUAUAGAUAAAAAAUAAUUAAUUACACAGUUUGUCUAUAAUUUGCGAGAUGAAUCUUUUGAGCCUAGUUAAUCUAUGAUCGGAUAAUAUUUAUCAAAUACAAACGAAAAUGCUACACUAUCUAUUUUGUAAAUUUUUUUUGGAACUAAACAAGGCCCAAAUCAGAUCCAGUGGCUCAAAACAGAUCCAGCCCUUCAACUCAUGAGACUUGGUUGUAUUUUCGGACAUAGAUAGUAGAUAGCAGCAUAAUUCAUAGUUUCAAAAAAAAAGAAAAAAAGUCAAUAAUUUAGGUCCAUAAUUCAGAUGGACAUAUACAUAGCAGUUUAACAAAGCACAAUAAAAUACAAGUCCAAUCGUAGACUAACUAGACUCAAAAGAUUCAGUGGCUCGCAAAAUUAUGUAAUUAGUUAUUUUUUAUGUAUAAUUAUUUUUUAUCUAUAUUUAAUUCUUCAUGCAUGUGUCAUAAGAUUUGAUGUAACGUGGAAUUUCUGAAAAAUCUAAAAUUUUACAAAAAAUAUUAGGAACUAAAUAAAGUGUUGGAGGAAUGAAUGUAGGAGGUAAGUUACAUUGUGACUUGCCCAAGGCAAGUUACUGAAUCCCUGUCCAAUAUCGUCGAUAGUCCGUCAGUAGGCUACAUCUAUGGGAUACCAUCUCCUUGGCGUUGUGAGGC